RNAcentral lists this ribosomal RNA (326 nucleotides) under uncultured eukaryote. Its description in RNAcentral is "partial 18S ribosomal RNA". It matches the Rfam family "Eukaryotic small subunit ribosomal RNA", at positions 1470 to 1796 of the family's 1831-position model. The record is from RNAcentral.
CCCUUAGAUGUUCUGGGCCGCACGCGCGCUACACUGACGAAGUCAGCGAGCAUGUCCUACGCCGACAGGUGCGGGGAAUCUUGUCAAACUUCGUCGUGAUGGGGAUUGAUUAUUGAAAUUCUUGAUCAUCAACGAGGAAUUCCUAGUAAGCGCAAGUCAGCAGCUUGCGUUGAUUACGUCCCUGCCCUUUGUACACACCGCCCGUCGCACCUACCGAUUGGAUGGUCCGGUGAAGCCUCGGGAUUGUGGUUCUUGCCGCUUUAUUGUGGCGUGACCGCGAGAACUUGUCUAAACCUUAUCAUCUAGAGGAAGGUGAAGUCGUAACA